This 75-nucleotide transfer RNA is filed under the name Candidatus Zambryskibacteria bacterium CG_4_9_14_3_um_filter_40_16. RNAcentral describes it as "tRNA-Cys". It matches the Rfam family "tRNA". From Rfam's summary of the family: Transfer RNA (tRNA) molecules are approximately 80 nucleotides in length. The record is from RNAcentral. Lineage: Bacteria; Candidatus Zambryskiibacteriota.
GGCGUGGUAGCCAAGUGGUAAGGCGAGAGUCUGCAAAACUCUUACACAUGGGUUCGAUUCCCAUCCACGCCUCAA